Molecule: long non-coding RNA, 283 nt
Organism: Gorilla gorilla gorilla (western lowland gorilla)
Lineage: Eukaryota; Metazoa; Chordata; Mammalia; Primates; Hominidae
Exons: 3
Source: RefSeq, a predicted model, not a curated record
AGGUUGAAUUUUACAGACUGGUGUACACUAAAUGCAUUUCAGGUAAUGGCUGAGAAAGAGCAAGACAGGAUAAAGAUGCCAAGUCCUCACCGAGGUGAUGGGAGGAUAUGUUGGAACAAGAGAAACAAGAGAGCCAGGUCUUCAAGAUGCAAAGUUUGAGGAGAAAAUAGCAGGCCAUUAAAUCGCUGGAACUAGAUGUCAUAUCAAGGCUAGAGCUGGACAUUUGAGAGCAUUAACAGUGGAGUUGGAGAACAAUCACUAUAAUCACAUUGCAAUUACAAAG